UAGUUGGUGGGCCCCACCCUAAAAGUAACAGCCGAUGCUUGAUGCUCCCAGAUAAGCGUUGAAUUAUGUGGGUUGUUUGUACUGUUUGCGGGUUCUACUGACACGUGGCAGCCCACAAUUGGUGAGUUUUUUUAUUUAUUUUUUUAAUAAGAGAAAAGAAAAAAAAUAAAAAAAUAAGCACUCCAUUUGGAGGGCUAAGACAAAGAUGCUCUUAGAGACCAAUCCCUAAUAUAGAAAAGAAAUAACGUAAGUAAAAAAGAAACUCCAAUACCCAACAUUAGGGGGGAUGAACCUAAACCAAAAUGGAGAGAAGAGCAACAACAAGAAAUAUGAUAUUCACACCAAGAAACAAAGCUUGGCA
This 361-nucleotide long non-coding RNA is filed under the name Brassica rapa (field mustard). Its description in RNAcentral is "long non-coding RNA (BRAP_LNC006367)". Lineage: Eukaryota; Viridiplantae; Streptophyta; Magnoliopsida; Brassicales; Brassicaceae. The record is from RNAcentral.